RNAcentral lists this long non-coding RNA (540 nucleotides) under Capsella rubella. Its description in RNAcentral is "long non-coding RNA (CRUB_LNC002800)". The record is from RNAcentral. Lineage: Eukaryota; Viridiplantae; Streptophyta; Magnoliopsida; Brassicales; Brassicaceae.
UCUUAUAAUUAUGAUGAACGAAACAUCAUGAUCGACGGUGACCAGAAACGUUUUCUCACAACUUCAUCUCGACAUGGCAAGGAACAUGUAGCAUGUACGAAUCAAGAACCUGAUCCCGGUCCGCUGACACGUAUUUCUUGCAAUGGACCUGGAUAUGUUAUGACGAAGAUCAAUUUCGCUGAGUAUGGUAAUCCCACUGGUACAUGUGGACACUUUAGACACGGCAAUUGCCGCUCACAAGCGACCAUGAGGAUCGUCAAAAAGGUUAAUUAACAAAAAAAUAAACUUACAUUAAUGUUGGUUUCUGCCUUUUCCUUCACGUGGAGUAAAAUCAUAAACAUUUCAAUAAAUCUUAUUGUGCAGAAUUGUCUUGGAAAAGAGAGGUGUCACCUUUUUGUUACGGACGAGAUGUUCGGUCCGAGCCACUGCGAAGGAGCUCCUAUGCUCGCUGUUGAAACCACUUGUACAAAAGCUUAGGUUUUCAUAUAUAUUAGUUUUCUCCCUUUUAGAUCUCGUUUUGGACAAGUUUUUGUGUUUCUC